RNAcentral lists this ribosomal RNA (453 nucleotides) under uncultured bacterium. Its description in RNAcentral is "bacterial SSU rRNA". It matches the Rfam family "Bacterial small subunit ribosomal RNA", at positions 340 to 786 of the family's 1533-position model. The record is from RNAcentral.
UACGGAAGGCAGCAGUGGGGAAUAUUGCACAAUGGGCGCAAGCCUGAUGCAGCCAUGCCGCGUGUAUGAAGAAGGCCUUCGGGUUGUAAAGUACUUUCAGUCGUGAGGAAGGUGUUAAGGUUAAUAACCUUAGCAAUUGACGUUAGCGACAGAAGAAGCACCGGCUAACUCCGUGCCAGCAGCCGCGGUAAUACGGAGGGUGCGAGCGUUAAUCGGAAUUACUGGGCGUAAAGGGCACGCAGGCGGUUAAUUAAGUUGGAUGUGAAAUCCCCGGGCUUAACCUGGGAAUGGCAUUCAAGACUGGUUAGCUAGAGUCUUGUAGAGGGGGUAGAAUUCCAUGUGUAGCGGUGAAAUGCGUAGAGAUGUGGAGGAAUACCGGUGGCGAAGGCGGCCCCUGGACAAAGACUGACGCUCAUGUGCGAAAGCGUGGAGAGCAAACAGGAUUUAGAUACC